This 482-nucleotide ribosomal RNA is filed under the name uncultured bacterium. RNAcentral's name for it is "partial 16S ribosomal RNA". It matches the Rfam family "Bacterial small subunit ribosomal RNA", at positions 30 to 507 of the family's 1533-position model. The record is from RNAcentral.
AUUGAACGCUGGCGGCAUGCCUUACACAUGCAAGUCGAACGGUAACGGGCCUUCGGGUGCCGACGAGUGGCGAACGGGUGAGUAAUACAUCGGAACGUGCCCGAUCGUGGGGGAUAACUAGGCGAAAGCUUUGCUAAUACCGCAUACGAUCUACGGAUGAAAUCAGGGGACCGCAAGGCCUUGCGCGGACGGAGCGGCCGAUGGCAGAUUAGGUAGUUGGUGGGAUAAAAGCUUACCAAGCCGACGAUCUGUAGCUGGUCUGAGAGGAUGAUCAGCCACACUGGAAAUGAGACACGGCCCAGACUCCUACGGGAGGCAGAAGUGGGGAAUUUUGGACAAUGGGCGCAAGCCUGAUCAAGCCAUGCCGCGUGCAGGAUGAAGGCCUUCGGGUUGUAAACUGCUUUUGUACGGAACGAAAAGCCUUCUUUUAAUACAGGAGGGUCAUGACGGUACCGUAAGAAUAAGCACCGGCUAACUACGUG